GGUUAAAUAUAUAUAACUGUGUGUGUCCAGGUUAAAUAUAUAUAACUGUGUGUCCCCAGGUUAAAUAUAUAUAACUGUGUGUGUCCCCAGGUUAAAUAUAUAUAACUGUGUGUGUCCCCAGGUUAAAUAUAUAUAACUGUGUGUGUCCAGGUUAAAUAUAUAUAACUGUGUGUCCCCAGGUUAAAUAUAUAUAACUGUGUGUGUCCCCAGGUUAAAUAUAUAUAACUGUGUGUGUCCCCAGGUUAAAUAUAUAUAACUGUGUGUGUCCAGGUUAAAUAUAUAUAACUGUGUGUGUCCAGGUUAAAUAUAUAUAACUGUGUGUGUCCCCUGGUUAAAUAUAUAUAACUGUGUGUCCCCAGGUUCCGUGGUGUCCAGACGGGGACAGACAGCCGGGUGGCAGAGCUUCUGAACCAGGUGAAGCUGAAGAGCUUUGAGACAGAGCGCUCUCAGAUGGUACAAGAGGAGACCGCCAGGAACCUGGGACAGUGUCAGAUGGAGACAGAGAAACACCAGAAGAAGCUAGAGGUCAUGACCAAGGAGUUGUACAGGCUUCAGGCGUCCUCGGAGAAGCAGAUAACGGAACUCCAGGCCCAGAAUGCUGAGCAGCAGGCCAGACUACAGACCUACGAGAAACUGGAGCAGGAGCUGGACGACGUCACCAUGCAGGCUGCUGAAAUUGAUAAUGAGGAGGAAGCAGAGAGAGUUCUGUUCUCCUACGGUUACGGUGCCAACGUUCCUACAACCGCCAAGAGACGACUCAGGCAGAGUGUCCAUCUGGCCCGUAGACUGUUGCAGCUGGAGAAACAGAACACACUGCUGAGGAGAGAUCUGGAGAGACGCAACACACACACAGGACAGAUCUCUGAGGAGGUAUCACACACAGGACAGAUCUCUGAGGAGGUAUCACACACAGGACAGAUCUCUGAGGAGGUAACACAGGACAGAUCUCUGAGGAGGUAACACACACAGGACAGAUCUCUGAGGAGGUAUCACACACAGGACAGAUCUCUGAGGAGGUAACACACACAGGACAGAUCUCUGAGGAGGUAACACACACAGGACAGAUCUCUGAGGAGGUAUCACACACAGGACAGAUCUCUGAGGAGGUAACACACACAGGACAGAUCUCUGAGGAGGUAACACAGGACAGAUCUCUGAGGAGGUAACACACACAGGACAGAUCUCUGAGGAGGUAACACAGGACAGAUCUCUGAGGAGGUAACACACACAGGACAGAUCUCUGAGGAGGUAACACACACAGGACAGAUCUCUGAGGAGGUAACACACACAGGACAGAUCUCUGAGGAGGUAUCACACACAGGACAGAUCUCUGAGGAGGUAACACACACAGGACAGAUCUCUGAGGAGGUAACACACACAGGACAGAUCUCUGAGGAGGUAACACAGGACAGAUCUCUGAGGAGGUAUCACACACAGGACAGAUCUCUGAGGAGGUAACACACACAGGACAGAUCUCUGAGGAGGUAUCACACACAGGACAGAUCUCUGAGGAGGUAUCACACACAGGACAGAUCUCUGAGGAGGUAACACACACAGGACAGAUCUCUGAGGAGGUAACACACACAGGACAGAUCUCUGAGGAGGUAUCACAGGACAGAUCUCUGAGGAGGUAUCACAGGACAGAUCUCUGAGGAGGUAACACACACAGGACAGAUCUCUGAG
RNA transcript from Oncorhynchus keta (chum salmon), 1683 nucleotides. It is a transcript of the gene named progesterone-induced-blocking factor 1-like, with no coding region annotated. NCBI's taxonomy places the organism in Eukaryota, Metazoa, Chordata, Actinopteri, Salmoniformes, Salmonidae. The record is from RefSeq and is a predicted model, not a curated record. The transcript is spliced from 7 exons.